This 728-nucleotide ribosomal RNA is filed under the name uncultured Bacilli bacterium. RNAcentral's name for it is "bacterial SSU rRNA". It matches the Rfam family "Bacterial small subunit ribosomal RNA", at positions 28 to 741 of the family's 1533-position model. Lineage: Bacteria; Bacillati; Bacillota; Bacilli. The record is from RNAcentral.
GACGAACGCUGGCGGCGUGCCUAAUACAUGCAAGUAGAACGCUGAAGGAGGAGCUUGCUUCUCCGGAUGAGUUGCGAACGGGUGAGUAACGCGUAGGUAACCUGCCUGGUAGCGGGGGAUAACUAUUGGAAACGAUAGCUAAUACCGCAUAAUAUUAAUUAUUGCAUGAUAAUUGAUUGAAAGGUGCAAAUGCAUCACUACCAGAUGGACCUGCGUUGUAUUAGCUAGUAGGUGAGGUAACGGCUCACCUAGGCGACGAUACAUAGCCGACCUGAGAGGGUGAUCGGCCACACUGGGACUGAGACACGGCCCAGACUCCUACGGGAGGCAGCAGUAGGGAAUCUUCGGCAAUGGACGAAAGUCUGACCGAGCAACGCCGCGUGAGUGAAGAAGGUUUUCGGAUCGUAAAGCUCUGUUGUAAGAGAAGAACGGGUGUGAGAGUGGAAAGUUCACACUGUGACGGUAUCUUACCAGAAAGGGACGGCUAACUACGUGCCAGCAGCCGCGGUAAUACGUAGGUCCCGAGCGUUGUCCGGAUUUAUUGGGCGUAAAGCGAGCGCAGGCGGUUAGAUAAGUCUGAAGUUAAAGGCUGUGGCUUAACCAUAGUACGCUUUGGAAACUGUUUAACUUGAGUGCAGAAGGGGAGAGUGGAAUUCCAUGUGUAGCGGUGAAAUGCGUAGAUAUAUGGAGGAACACCGGUGGCGAAAGCGGCUCUCUGGUCUGUAACU